CGUAUACGGUGGAUGCCUUGGCAGUUAGAGGCGAUGAAGGACGUGUAAGUCUGCGAAAAGCUGUGGUGAGCCGACAAAAUGCAUUUGAGCCACAGAUGUCCGAAUGGGGAAACCCACCUAUUUAUAGGUAUCGUUAACUGAAUACAUAGGUUAACGAGGCAAACGAGGGGAACUGAAACAUCUAAGUACCCUUAGGAAAAGAAAUCAACCGAGAUUCCCCUAGUAGCGGCGAGCGAACGGGGAGCAGCCCUUAAGCUGUUUAGAAUUUAGUGGAAUCCUUUGGGAAGAGGAGCGAUACAAGGUGAUAGCCCUGUACACGACGGAUUCUUUACAGUGAAAUCGAGUAGGUCGGGACACGUGUUAUCUUGACUGAAUAUGGGGGGACCAUCCUCCAAGGCUAAAUACUCCUAACUGACCGAUAGUGAACCAGUACCGUGAGGGAAAGGUGAAAAGCACCCCGACGAGGGGAGUGAAACAGUUUCUGAAACCGGACGCCUACAAGCAGUCGGAGGGGCCUUGAGCCCUGACGGCGUACCUUUUGUAUAAUGGGUCAUCGACUUGGUCUCACGAGCAAGCUUAAGCCGUUAGGUGUAGGCGCAGCGAAAGCGAGUCUUAAUAGGGCGCAUGAGUUCGUGGGAUCAGACCCGAAACCGAGUGAUCUAGGCAUGACCAGGAUGAAGGUAAGGUAACACUUACUGGAGGUCCGAACCCACACCUGUUGAAAAAGGUCGGGAUGAGUUGUGCCUAGGGGUGAAAGGCCAAUCAAACUCGGAGAUAGCUGGUUCUCUGCGAAAUCUAUUUAGGUAGAGCGUCAUCCGAAUACCCCGGGGGGUAGAGCACUGGAUGGGUAAUGGGGCCCCACAGGCUUACUGAUCCUAACCAAACUCCGAAUACCCGGGAGUACUAGAUGGCAGACACACAGCGGAUGCUAACGUCCGUUGUGAAGAGGGAAACAACCCUGACCUCCAGCUAAGGCCCCUAAUUCAUGGCUAAGUGGGAAAGCAGGUGGGACGACCAAAACAACCAGGAGGUUGGCUUAGAAGCAGCCAUCCUUUAAAGAUAGCGUAACAGCUCACUGGUCUAAAUAAGAUGUCUUGCGGCGAAGAUGUAACGGGGCUCAAGCCAUGAGCCGAAGCUGAGGAUGCCGUAAGGCAUGGUAGCAGAGCG
RNAcentral lists this ribosomal RNA (1167 nucleotides) under Percolomonas cosmopolitus. RNAcentral describes it as "partial Bacterial large subunit ribosomal RNA". It matches the Rfam family "Bacterial large subunit ribosomal RNA", at positions 16 to 1238 of the family's 2925-position model. The record is from RNAcentral. Lineage: Eukaryota; Heterolobosea; Eutetramitea; Percolomonadida; Percolomonadidae.